CUGUGCUGCCUAGGGUCGAGUCUACAGGGGGGUCUGGUGCGAGCCGGGACCGGAUCAGCCAGCAGCUCGGAGAAAAUCGUUGCCACGGAGGCCCAGUGCGGCCCACUUGCCGGUGGCUCUGGUGCAGCUGGGAAGCAUGCACGGGGAUACCGGCGUCCCCUGUGCACGGCCCUGACGCUGCUUGUGAUGGGAUCCGUUAGCAGGUGGAAACGGCACCGCCUGGGGGCGCUAGCGGUGUCUGGUCUCGACGCCUUCCUAGGUUUGCAAGUGCGGCAGGGAGUUCAGAAGCACGCGUUGGCAUGGCGAAGUAGGAGGGGAGGCCUUUUCCGGUGCUCAAAGUGGGGUCAUUGCCCGGACUCCCAUUUCACUCCCCUGGUUUUCUUCCUUCCUUCCUUUUACCUUUGUCCUCUCUUCUUUUUUACAUUUUUGUCCCUUACGGCACUUAUAUGAGAGUUGGAAAUCAGUGUCGUAGUUGUCAGAUUCCAUCAUCUUCCUGGAGGAUGGGACAGAAGAUUAUUGCGUGCAUCAGGCGCAAGGAUGAUGUGGCAUAUCACAUCCCGAGGACCGUCUAGCGCAUGUGGCACGUCAAGUGACGGUGAGAUCUUCUGCCCCUACUGAAGAGCGGGGUCUUCAGCCUCUCAUUGAAGAGAGACGCUUUCUGUCCAAGAGUAGGGUCAUCGGAUCUCAGCAGAGAGUACCAUAGGAAAGGGAGAAGGGCAAACCACCACCUGUUUUCCUUUUCUCUCUUCAUUUUCAUGUUACUUACAAGGAGAUGGGAAACAAAAUCAUUAUUCCGUUUACUAGGUGUGGGGGAAAUGGAGGUUAAUCCCAUAGCAUAUGCAAAGUGAAUAACGCACAAUCGGGAAUUGAUGUCCAAGGGCAACGCGGUAUAUUACGCACAUGCACCUCCUGGCGCAUGCUAUAUAUAGAAGCAAUGAAAAGGUUGCAGUAUUUCAUAUUUUUCGCUGGGACCUCUCAUUGGCAUCGUCCAUGGAUGACUCCGGUGCCAGCUGGAAACAUGCGUGCUGGGAGCUUCUCCACUCCGAUCUUUCUCGGCCAUUCAAAAUACGCAUAGGGGAAAAAUAUCGAUUGGGUGGUGGAUGGUCUGCGCCUUGCGAACGGAGGAUUUUUGUCCGGUGUGAUGAAUACGAGGCUUCUCCGUAUGGCCUCGGCGCUGACGCAGAAUACAUGCGUGGGUAGCAAAGGGCCGCUAAUUGAUGGUCUCGAUGUCAUCCAAGAUUGGGCGCGUAGGGAGUCUGUCAGUAAUCACAUCCAACGAAUACAUAGGCAUUCAAGUCGAAGUCUUUAAUGCAACGGAGCUUAAUGUACACCUUCACCGUC
This 1341-nucleotide long non-coding RNA is filed under the name Elaeis guineensis (African oil palm). RNAcentral describes it as "long non-coding RNA (EGUI_LNC008080)". The record is from RNAcentral. Lineage: Eukaryota; Viridiplantae; Streptophyta; Magnoliopsida; Arecales; Arecaceae.